This 69-nucleotide transfer RNA is filed under the name Evoxymetopon poeyi (Poey's scabbardfish). RNAcentral describes it as "tRNA-Glu". It matches the Rfam family "tRNA". From Rfam's summary of the family: Transfer RNA (tRNA) molecules are approximately 80 nucleotides in length. Their secondary structure includes four short double-helical elements and three loops (D, anti-codon, and T loops). Further hydrogen bonds mediate the characteristic L-shaped molecular structure. tRNAs have two regions of fundamental functional importance: the anti-codon, which is responsible for specific mRNA codon recognition, and the 3' end, to which the tRNAs corresponding amino acid is attached (by aminoacyl-tRNA synthetases). tRNAs cope with the degeneracy of the genetic code in two manners: having more than one tRNA (with a specific anti-codon) for a particular amino acid; and 'wobble' base-pairing, i.e. permitting non-standard base-pairing at the 3rd anti-codon position. Lineage: Eukaryota; Metazoa; Chordata; Actinopteri; Scombriformes; Trichiuridae. The record is from RNAcentral.
GUUCUCUUAGUUAAGUGAUAACAGUGGUUUUUCAAGUCACCAUUCUUGGUUAAAGUCCUAGAGAGAAUU